This 253-nucleotide ribosomal RNA is filed under the name uncultured bacterium. Its description in RNAcentral is "partial 16S ribosomal RNA". It matches the Rfam family "Bacterial small subunit ribosomal RNA", at positions 524 to 776 of the family's 1533-position model. The record is from RNAcentral.
UACGUAGGGUGCAAGCGUUGUCCGGAAUUAUUGGGCGUAAAGAACUCGUAGGCGGUUUGUCGCGUCUGCUGUGAAAACUCGGGGCUUAACUCCGGGCCUGCAGUGGGUACGGGCAGACUAGAGUGCGGUAGGGGAGACUGGAAUUCCUGGUGUAGCGGUGAAAUGCGCAGAUAUCAGGAGGAACACCGGUGGCGAAGGCGGGUCUCUGGGCCGUAACUGACGCUGAGGAGCGAAAGCGUGGGGAGCGAACAGG